Molecule: long non-coding RNA, 2609 nt
Filed under: Panax ginseng (ginseng)
Lineage: Eukaryota; Viridiplantae; Streptophyta; Magnoliopsida; Apiales; Araliaceae
Description: long non-coding RNA (PGIN_LNC008213)
Source: RNAcentral
GAGCAGAUUGCUUUGAGUGACAACGGCAGUAGCAGAGAACAGAGAAGAGGGGUGACGAUAAAAAUGCCUUUGACCGCCGAUCAAUCGACUGACGAGAGGUGCAACGUGUGAGGCUGAAGUGUUCCGUUACUUGAAUUGACUAAAGACUUAAUUACCCUUCAUAUAUAUUGAAAACGACACAUGAGAUAAGUUUUUGUUUCAUUUCAUUUCACUUCUCUCUCCUCACUACUUGUGGGUUUCGACUGAGAGUUCCUCCAAAAUAGAAAAUCGAGCUUUGAAAUCUUCAGAAAACCGAUUGUUGCAAAACAGAAAACUGAAACCCUUACCGAAUCAUCAAAGCCCAGAGUUCCUUCUCCAACUUGAGCUUCAAAAAAUGGAAGCCCUUGAAAUCUCACUUCGACCCCCCUCAAGUCCUAGAAUCGGAAGCCCUCAGUUCGACCCUCCUCAAGCCCUCACUUCGAUCUCUCCGCUCCUGUUGGCCCUCAUCAGUUCGAUCUCCUUGUUCCACACUUCGAUUCGGUAAGGGCUUGACCUCGUAUGAUUUCUUUUAAUUCCUUAUGCGAUUUGAAAGUUAUUCAGUUGAUUUGGCACUCAAAUUGUUACUCUAUUCUUCUGAGUAUUAAUGUUAUUUAGCUUUAAUACCAUUGUGCCACAAUUCAGAUUAGGAAGAACAGAGGAACAUUUCACGUGAAAAAAUCAACUGAUUUUUUUUAAUCUGAUGAACAGUUCAGGUGAAAAAAGCAACUGAAAAAUUCAUAGACUAUAACAAUUCCCUGUAAACGCAAGAAGCCCAUCGUGUGUUUUAACCAGUUGUUAAAGAACAAAUUAGGAUAAGGACAACACACAUAGUAAAAUCAGUUCAAGCCUAAGAGAUUUAUUUGUCCAUUGUCAUUGCCUAUAAAACACCAAAGUAUACUAUAAUUGCAUAUUAUUAAAAUGAUUUUAUUUUCAAAUAAUAUAUUUUAUGUUUCUAAAUUUAUUGAUUCUGACUUUCUCAUAAAAUAAAUUUUCUUACUUUCACACUAAUACUGAAAGGGCAAAUCGCAAAACUAUAUCUUUAGAACUGCAGUCUCCUAAAAGUUUAGAAUAAUAUUUUGGGACGGUCUGAACUCUUUUCUCUAUAUAUAUGGAUGAUACUGCAUAGUAAUUUUUACAGUUGGUAUUUUGCAGUUUGGGUGGUUAUGUUGUGUACAUAUUCUUCCAUUUAUCGUCUUUUUUUGAAUUGAAAUUGUUUCGGCUAGUGGAUCUGGCACUUGAAAAUGAAGUGUGGGGGUGGGGGGCAAUGUGUUUUAGUUUAUUUUAUCUGGAUUUAGUUAUAGGCAGCUAGAAUUUCUAUGUUAUGAAAGCAACAUGUUGAAUUCUACAACUGACCAGCAAUUGGAGCAAGGUAGCAAAAAGUAGCUUCAACAUCUCAGUACUAAAAGAGAAGAUAGAUUCAACAUCUCACUACUUGGCUCCAGAACCUCAAAUAGACUCAUGAAUAUUGAUUUUGGGGUAUUUAUCUGGUUGAUCUUUGUAUUGCACACCUUCCCUCAUUUAAAUUGUUUUUUUUCUUUCUUCUUUAUCUUAAAAAAUAUUGAUUAUAGAGCUCAUUCACACACAAAAAUAUGUUUAGAUACUUUUCAUAUCAUUUAAAAUUUAAGUAUGUUUUUACAUAAAAUCAUGUAUAAUCAAUUGAUAAUAUAUGAAUGUUUGCAAAAUAGGCCAGUCAUACCUUCAAAAUUGAUGUUAUCACAUUUAUAUCGAAUAUAUAACUAUUUAAAAGUAAUUUUUGGAACUUAAAAGUGAUAUGUUUAAUUUGAUUAUGCUUUUCUGUUAUGUUAUAUCUACUAGCUAACGACACAGUUGAUGACAUAAUAUGGUAUGCUCAUUUCUAUCAGCCAUAUUAUUCGGCUGAUUAUAGAUUGAUUAAUCAGUAAACUAAAACUCUUAUUUUCCAUAACAGGGACGUUGUUCAAAGCAAAUUGGAAAAUUUGGGACAUGUUAAUUUUACCUCAUCUAUAUCUCAUCCUGGAUUAUGAACACUCUACAGACUGCAAUCAUUACUGCUCAUUUUUUGUUUUAAUAAAAAAUUGUUAUUAAAACUGCUCAUGAAUAUGCAGAUGCUUGAUGGACAUGAGAAUUCAUUGGAAGUAACAAGUCAGUCAAGAAGCAGCCCAGCAAAACAGAAAACACUGGACUCCUUCAUAAAGCGGUGCAAUACUAGUCAAAACCACGAACACAAGCCUAAACUUAAGUACCCAAGGCAUUGAACUGCGGUUGAACAUAAUUGAAGUGUAUGAUCAUGCUCAGACACCGCUGUCACAGAUCUGCAACGGGGAUCCUGAUGCUGAACAAAUUGAUAUGUGGUGUUCCCAGUCGUAAUAAGUAGGAUAUUCUUCAGAUUUUGGGGUGGGGCUGUAAUUACACUUGCAUAUAUAUAUAUAUAUGUAUUUCCUUAAUCCUUAUGAACCUUUUGGGAGCAUUAAUGACAUCUCUGCAUUCUUCUCGGCUUCUGGCUUAGUGUAAAGUCACCCCAUUUUUGUAACAUAAAUUUACAUGAUGCUUUUUGCAACUUGAAAUGCUGUGAUUUUUUUGAGGAAAUAGAAAGAUUGAUGUCUACUUGAGGA